AUAGAAAGUCCAACCUGCCCCAUGAAAAUUUUUAAUGGCCGCGGUAACCUGACCGUGCUAAGGUAGCGCAAUAAAUUGCCUCCUAAUUGGAGGACUGAUGAAUGGUCAAACAAGAGCUCAACUGUCUCCUUACUGCUAUAUAAAAAUUGAUUUUUAGGUGAAAAAGCCUUAAUACAAUUGAAAGACGAGAAGACCCUGUCGAGCUUUAAUCAAAUAUAUAGAACAAGACAAUUCUUACUAUAUAAGAAUUUUAGUUGGGGCAACUAGGGAACAAAAAAAACUUCCCUUAAAAAUUAAAGAAAACAAAUACCGAUCCAACAAUGUUGAUCAAAGAACAAGCUACCGCAGGGAUAACAGCUUAAUUUCUUUCAAGAGAACAUAUCGAAAAAGAAGUUUGAGACCUCGAUGUUGGACCAAAGUAUCCCAUAGGUGCAGCAACCUAUAARGGUUGGUCUGUUCGACCAUUAAAACUUUA
This 475-nucleotide ribosomal RNA is filed under the name Gibberula sp. MNHN-IM-2013-4208. RNAcentral's name for it is "partial 16S ribosomal RNA". The record is from RNAcentral. Lineage: Eukaryota; Metazoa; Mollusca; Gastropoda; Neogastropoda; Cystiscidae.